This 433-nucleotide ribosomal RNA is filed under the name uncultured bacterium. RNAcentral describes it as "bacterial SSU rRNA". It matches the Rfam family "Bacterial small subunit ribosomal RNA", at positions 28 to 443 of the family's 1533-position model. The record is from RNAcentral.
GAUGAACGCUGGCGGCGUGCUUAACACAUGCAAGUCGAGCGAAGCACUUUGGAAAGAUUCUUCGGAUGAUUUCCUUUGUGACUGAGCGGCGGACGGGUGAGUAACGCGUGGGUAACCUGCCUCAUACAGGGGGAUAACAGUUAGAAAUGACUGCUAAUACCGCAUAAGACCACGGUACCGCAUGGUACAGUGGUAAAAACUCCGGUGGUAUGAGAUGGACCCGCGUCUGAUUAGGUAGUUGGUGGGGUAACGGCCUACCAAGCCGACGAUCAGUAGCCGACCUGAGAGGGUGACCGGCCACAUUGGGACUGAGACACGGCCCAGACUCCUACGGGAGGCAGCAGUGGGGAAUAUUGCACAAUGGAGGAAACUCUGAUGCAGCGACGCCGCGUGAAGGAUGAAGUAUUUCGGUAUGUAAACUUCUAUCAGCAGG